RNAcentral lists this ribosomal RNA (1173 nucleotides) under Streptomyces halstedii. Its description in RNAcentral is "partial 23S ribosomal RNA". It matches the Rfam family "Bacterial large subunit ribosomal RNA", at positions 1763 to 2925 of the family's 2925-position model. RNAcentral also lists the same sequence under 1 other name. The record is from RNAcentral. Lineage: Bacteria; Bacillati; Actinomycetota; Actinomycetes; Kitasatosporales; Streptomycetaceae.
UGAGCUGGGGGUGGCCGCAGAGACCAGCGAGAAGCGACUGUUUACUAAAAACACAGGUCCGUGCGAAGCCGUAAGGCGAUGUAUACGGACUGACGCCUGCCCGGUGCUGGAACGUUAAGGGGACCGGUUAGUGCACUUUCGGGUGUGCGAAGCUGAGAACUUAAGCGCCAGUAAACGGCGGUGGUAACUAUAACCAUCCUAAGGUAGCGAAAUUCCUUGUCGGGUAAGUUCCGACCUGCACGAAUGGCGUAACGACUUCUCGACUGUCUCAACCAUAGGCCCGGUGAAAUUGCACUACGAGUAAAGAUGCUCGUUUCGCGCAGCAGGACGGAAAGACCCCGGGACCUUUACUAUAGUUUGAUAUUGGUGUUCGGUUCGGCUUGUGUAGGAUAGGUGGGAGACUUUGAAGCGGCCACGCCAGUGGUUGUGGAGUCGUCGUUGAAAUACCACUCUGGUCGUGCUGGAUGUCUAACCUGGGUCCGUGAUCCGGAUCAGGGACAGUGUCUGAUGGGUAGUUUAACUGGGGCGGUUGCCUCCUAAAGAGUAACGGAGGCGCCCAAAGGUUCCCUCAGCCUGGUUGGCAAUCAGGUGUUGAGUGUAAGUGCACAAGGGAGCUUGACUGUGAGACCGACGGGUCGAGCAGGGACGAAAGUCGGGACUAGUGAUCCGGCAGUGGCUUGUGGAAGCGCUGUCGCUCAACGGAUAAAAGGUACCCCGGGGAUAACAGGCUGAUCUUCCCCAAGAGUCCAUAUCGACGGGAUGGUUUGGCACCUCGAUGUCGGCUCGUCGCAUCCUGGGGCUGGAGUCGGUCCCAAGGGUUGGGCUGUUCGCCCAUUAAAGCGGUACGCGAGCUGGGUUUAGAACGUCGUGAGACAGUUCGGUCCCUAUCCGCUGUGCGCGUAGGAAUAUUGAGAAGGGCUGUCCCUAGUACGAGAGGACCGGGACGGACGAACCUCUGGUGUGCCAGUUGUUCUGCCAAGGGCAUGGCUGGUUGGCUACGUUCGGAAAGGAUAACCGCUGAAAGCAUCUAAGCGGGAAGCCUGCUUCGAGAUGAGUGUUCCCACCACCUUGAGUGGUUAAGGCUCCCAGUAGACGACUGGGUUGAUAGGCCAGAUGUGGAAGCCCGGUAACGGGUGGAGCUGACUGGUACUAAUAGGCCGAGGGCUUGUCCUC